This 457-nucleotide ribosomal RNA is filed under the name uncultured bacterium. RNAcentral's name for it is "partial 16S ribosomal RNA". It matches the Rfam family "Bacterial small subunit ribosomal RNA", at positions 338 to 795 of the family's 1533-position model. The record is from RNAcentral.
CCUACGGGUGACAGCAGUGGGGAAUAUUGCACAAUGGGGGAAAGCCUGAUGCAGCGACGCCGCGUGAGUGAAGAAGUAUUUCGGGAUGUAAAGCUCUAUCAGCCGGGAAGAAAUAGCGACCUCUGGGUCGCCAGACGGUACCUGAUUAUGAAGCCCCGGCUAACAACGUGCCAGAGGCCGCGGGAAUACGAAGGGGGCAAGCGUUAUCCGGAGUUAUUGGGUUUAAAGGGUGCGGAGGCGGAAUGCCAAGUCAGCGGUAAAAUCGCGGGGCUCAACCUCUCUCCGCCGUUGAAACUGGCGUUCUUGAGUGGGCGAGAAGUAUGCGGAAUGCGUGGUGUAGCGGUGAAAUGCAUAGAUAUCACGCAGAACUCCGAUUGCGAAGGCAGCAUACCGGCGCCCAACUGACGCUGAAGCACGAAAGCGUGGGUAUCGAACAGGAUUAGAUACCCUAGUAGUC